Molecule: ribosomal RNA, 754 nt
Filed under: Triticum aestivum (bread wheat)
Lineage: Eukaryota; Viridiplantae; Streptophyta; Magnoliopsida; Poales; Poaceae
Description: partial small subunit ribosomal RNA
Source: RNAcentral
CUUACGGGGGCUGACAGGGCUAAUUAGUAAUGAGGCUAGGGCUUCCGGUUGUGUUAUCCUGGCCUUAGGAUGCUACAAUAGGGUACGAUUACAUAGGUCUCGCUACCGAACGAAACUCGUGAGAUUAAAGAAGUUUCAUUGCUACGGCCCUUGUGCUGGGCCGGUUAAUUCCGAUCCUCGCGCUACGGCCGGCUUCCCAGCUCAUCCAGCCACGAGCGGCACUCCGUCUGGCCGGCUGGGCCGGGUUCCAGGUUGAUGCUCGAAAAAUUGACGUAGUUGAAUUUAUAUGCGAUAACCUCGAUAUUAAUUGCGCCGACGACGUGAUCUGAAAGGGAGGUUACCUAGGAGCAAUUCCCUAAAUCUAAUCUGAGUAAGGUUAAUGGUCUGUGAUUACGCGGGCCAUAACAAUAAAUAACAGUGUUGGAGGGGUACAGUCCUAACCCAUUAAACGCGCGGACCACGGAAGGAACCUACACCAUCGGCAAAGAGUCCGAGGGAGAGGCUUUAGCUUGGGAUUAAGAGGUAGUGGGCAGUGGUGGUACCAUCCUGGGAUAGGAUGGUAGCUUUAUGCUAUCCCGUCUUUAAACUUACUACGCAGCGGCCGUGCUUCCGGCAGGCUAAGCAGCUAAAUAGAACUUAGUAGCCUAGUCGCUCGUCUCGGUCGCAGUCGGAAAAUAGAUUAUUUACGCGGGGAGGGUCUUCAGCCCCAAACAACGUGCAUAAUCGAGAUCUUAAUGAUACCAAUAGGCUCAUC